RNAcentral lists this ribosomal RNA (465 nucleotides) under uncultured bacterium. RNAcentral describes it as "partial 16S ribosomal RNA". It matches the Rfam family "Bacterial small subunit ribosomal RNA", at positions 330 to 792 of the family's 1533-position model. The record is from RNAcentral.
CCCAGACUCCUACGGGAGGCAGCAGUGAGGAAUAUUGGUCAAUAGGCGGAAGCCUGAACCAGCCAAGUCGCGUGAGGGAAUAAGGCCCUACGGGUCGUAAACCUCUUUAGGCGGGGAGCAAUGCCGGGCACGCGUGCCCGGAGGGAGAGUACCCGCAGAAUAAGCAUCGGCUAACUCCGUGCCAGCAGCCGCGGUAAUACGGAGGAUGCGAGCGUUAUCCGGAUUUAUUGGGUUUAAAGGGUGCGUAGGCGGAUUUUUAAGUCAGCGGUAAAAUGUCCGGGCUCAACCCGGGCCGGCCGUUGAAACUGGGGAUCUUGAGUGGGCGAGAAGUAUGCGGAAUGCGUGGUGUAGCGGUGAAAUGCAUAGAUAUCACGCAGAACUCCGAUUGCGAAGGCAGCAUACCGGCGCCCGACUGACGCUGAGGCACGAAAGCGUGGGGAUCGAACAGGAUUAGAUACCCCUGUA